Non-coding RNA from Physcomitrium patens, 3506 nucleotides. The record is from RefSeq and is a predicted model, not a curated record. NCBI's taxonomy places the organism in Eukaryota, Viridiplantae, Streptophyta, Bryopsida, Funariales, Funariaceae.
UUUGACGCGCCUCGUCGUCCUCCUCCUCGCCCCGGCUAUGGCCUGCGAUGAGCCCUUCUCUCCGCCAUAGCCAGCCACCAUCCUGUUGUGCUUGGCUUCGGUCCGCUUCUAUUCCGCCGCAGCGCGUGUUGGACCGGAGUCUUCCACUUCAUCAGGGAGCAGGACAGCCCAGGGAUUUUUUGGUUUGGCAAUGUUGAAGUUACAAGGCGCUGCCGCGCGAGGGAAGAGGAGCAUGCAGAGAGACUAUCUGCUUUCCGUGAACUGAAGGCGCUUCGUUGCACGCCUUUUUGGUUUCGUUCUAGAAGUGUUCUGAAGGAUUUCGCGUUGCGGAAGCAGGGAGCUGAGGUAGCUUGCAAUAGGUGCAGGGGGUUCUCAGCAGUGGUUGCUAUAUAGGAGGUCAGGAGUAGAUUUGUACUCGACAUUAUUCGCCACUGGCUCCGUAGCUUGAAAGAUUGAUUAGAAGAGGAAUGACAGAAGUGGCCGAUGGAAAUCCAGUAACAAUGUCAGCAACUAAAGAUACCUUGUUACCUGGUAGACAGGAGGGCUUCGUGUCAUCGGGGCUGUCUCCUUGCUCAAACGCUCCUGUGGAUGCCUCGUCUAAGAUUCGAGUAGAAAAUGUGGUUCAGGCAGAGACCCCGAGUGGAGAUGGUCCUUCCGGAAAGGUCAUCUUGGAUUCUGAUAGUUUAAUUCAAGAAACUGCAGCGGGCUGUGAUGAGGUCGUUCUUUCGGCAGUGAAGCAAAUAGUGUCGGAUGGAGCAGAUGACUUGAAAACAUCUCUUGGCGAUUUGCAGCAGGAUUCGCAGGAUAUUACGGACAGCUCCAUUGAAGAACCGGUCGUGGAUGCUUCGAAAGUAGAUGUUGCUGAAGAGUUACCUGCCGUGGAGGUACUUGCUGUGAAGACAACUAUAGUAGAAAAAUGUGUUAUAGAAGUAUCUACUGUGGAACCAACUUCUGUGGAUAAUGCUACUGUGGAAGCACCCGCCGAGGAAGCACCUGCUGAGGAGGUAGCAGUGAAGGCAGACCCGAAGGAGGAGACGCUUAUCUUUUCUGAAAGUGCUUGUGUUCAGGAUGCUGUUCCUGGUGCAACUGGAAUGAGAAUAGAUGCUGAGGAUCAUACUGUGGAAGAAAAAUCCGCAGAUGAGGGUGUUGGAGGUGAGCAAAAUUCACAUCCUACUCCACUGAAGGAUGAAAGGCAGAACGUUGCAUCGGAUUCUAGAUCGGUUAAAGAAUCCCCAUUGACCGGGACCCAAGCCACUGGUCGACAACCCCUUGAUGAGAGUAAGGCCCUUCUUAAUGGGGAAACAAGGAUGGGCGAAGUAGUAUCUGCUGGUAGUCACGCUAUCACUUCAUCGACUGCCACUGGAGCUAAAGCGGCCAAUGAAGUCACUAGAAGUAAAACGGGUGAUACCACUGCUAAAACUGUCGAUGAGACUGCCGAGAAGCUUCUGGACGAAAUGCCGGAUAGAGUGGUAAAUCAGUUUGCCGAUGGUGUGGCGGAUAGUAUGGCUGAUGCCCUUGCCGACAAACUUGCUGAUGAGAUUGCUGACCGAAUGGCGGAUGAGAUUGUUGACAAGAUGGCUGAUGAGAUGGCUGGUGGUAUAGCCGAUGACACAAUAGCGGAUGAGAUUGCGGAUAGGAUGGCAGAUGAAAUGGCCGAUAGGAUGGCAGACGAGAUGGCUGAUAGAAUGGCAGAUGAAAUGGCUGAUAGGGUGGCAGCUGAAAUGGCUGAUGAGUUGGCAGAUGAAAUGGCAGAUGAAAUGGCAGACGAAGUAAUUGAAGGGGAAUAUGGUAGGGAUGAAAGAGCUCAAGAGAAUGAGGGAAUGGUUGAUAGAGAAACUCAUGAAGUUGGUGACAUGGAAGAAGAAGUGGAAAUGGUCGAAGAUGGGAACAAGGUGAUGGACGACGAUGAUUAUGAAGACGAUGAAGGAACUCCAGAGGAGCAGAUGACAUUCGUAGAAGAGCUGGAGCGUUUCUUUAAGCGACGGAAUCUGGAAUACAAGCCCCCGAAGUUUUAUGGACUGGAGUUGAACGUUCUGAAGCUUUGGAGGGUAGUGUCCAGAUAUGGUGGCUAUGAUCAUGUUACAGUCAGCAAACUUUGGAGGACAGUUGGUGAAGAAUUUAAACCUCCCAAGACAUGUACGACUAUUUCAUGGUCAUUUCGAGGUUUCUAUGAGAAGGCCCUACUGGAUUACGAGAGGUUCAAGACUGGUGUAACUGCACCUGACAGUGGCCAAAGAUCAAUUCAAACACCUGGCUAUUAUCUGACAAAUGAUCAGCGAACAUCAUCCCCCGCUACCCCAUCAUUUGAUCCCAAUGCGGGUGGAACACCGGGAUCAGGAUCUGGACGUGCACGAAGAGACGCAGCAGCACGGGCAAUGCAGGGAUGGCAUUCGCAGCGUAUGGGCAAUGGAGAUUCUAAAGAGCCAAAUUCAAAGGAAAAAGGCUCUGGUGGGAAGCAUGUGAAGAAAGAAAGAAAGCUAACGAAUAUAGGAGGAAAUGGGCUGAAGCGAAAAGGGUCAAAUACGGUCCUUGAGAGGGCUGUGAAGGCUGUUCAAGCCAGAGGAAGACCAAGAUUAUUUGAAGACAGUCCGCCUAGUAAUUCUGCAGUAACUGGCAAACGAAGUAUGAAGCAACAGGACUCCGGAAGACGUCCCAUGAAGGUUGCUAAAGUGGAUGGACCAGCAGGUGGUUUUGAUCCUCCGAUUGUUGACGAGGGCCCUAAAGCUGAUUGGGUCAAAAUCAAUGUACAUAAACAUCUAGAUUGUUUCGAAAUUUAUGCACUGGUUCCCGGGCUAGCUCGUGAGGAGGUCCGGAUCCAAUGUGAGCCUGGAGGCAGGCUAGUGAUUGCUGGAAUGCCUGAGGAUCCAGAGAAUCCCUGGGGCGUGACACCUUUCAGAAAAAUGGAGAAUGCUUGCUUGGAUAAGAAGCGAGGGAGCAGGUUCAAUGUGUAGGAGAACAUGUUUCUCAAGUUAGGUCAAAGGCAAUUAUCUUGCGCAGGAAGAUGUCUUAACAGGGUAGGAGCUUGUAAAGGCAAUGCCACAUGCUGGUGUAUGCACUCAAAUCUGUUUGAGCUGAAGAAGUAUGUCAUGAACAGAACUGCAUACCUUUACGGGCAUUCUGCAGCGAAGUCAUCUAGGUCCAUGUACAUUAUAAUUCUCUCCCGAAGGAAGGAGUUAUGUUGCCCUACAACUGCAGAGGAUGACUUGUUCAUUUUCAUGAGUGUAGGACCCACACCACUGCAUUUUGAUUAUGGCAGUCGCGCUCUUUUUAAACCUCCUGCAUUCCCUUCUCGCAUUCUUCACUUCUAAACCUGCGCCACAUUUCAACGCAUCUAAAGGCGGGAAGACAAUUCUAUAGAAUCCUUCAAGAUAUCCAUGGAUCGACUAGAAUUUUAUCAAAUUUUUUUGCUGCGUAUUUAUAUAUAUUCACACAUACGCGCACACACAUACACAUAUAUGCCAAACGUUGAUACAGAAGAUGAGCAUGUAAAGGUUGUUGUUAAUGCC